This 463-nucleotide ribosomal RNA is filed under the name Vreelandella stevensii. RNAcentral's name for it is "partial 16S ribosomal RNA". It matches the Rfam family "Bacterial small subunit ribosomal RNA", at positions 340 to 795 of the family's 1533-position model. Lineage: Bacteria; Pseudomonadati; Pseudomonadota; Gammaproteobacteria; Oceanospirillales; Halomonadaceae. The record is from RNAcentral.
UACGGGGGGCAGCAGUGGGGAAUAUUGGACAAUGGGCGAAAGCCUGAUCCAGCCAUGCCGCGUGUGUGAAGAAGGCCUUCGGGUUGUAAAGCACUUUCAGUGGGGAAGAAAGCCUUGGGGCUAAUACCCUCGAGGAAGGACAUCACCCACAGAAGAAGCACCGGCUAACUCCGUGCCAGCAGCCGCGGUAAUACGGAGGGUGCGAGCGUUAAUCGGAAUUACUGGGCGUAAAGCGCGCGUAGGCGGUCUGAUAAGCCGGUUGUGAAAGCCCCGGGCUCAACCUGGGAACGGCAUCCGGAACUGUCAGGCUAGAGUGCAGGAGAGGAAGGUAGAAUUCCCGGUGUAGCGGUGAAAUGCGUAGAGAUCGGGAGGAAUACCAGUGGCGAAGGCGGCCUUCUGGACUGACACUGACGCUGAGGUGCGAAAGCGUGGGUAGCAAACAGGAUUAGAUACCCGUGUAGUC